Molecule: long non-coding RNA, 100 nt
Organism: Myripristis murdjan (pinecone soldierfish)
Lineage: Eukaryota; Metazoa; Chordata; Actinopteri; Holocentriformes; Holocentridae
Exons: 3
Source: RefSeq, a predicted model, not a curated record
AAAAUGGUAUCAAACGUUUGUCUCGGUCUGGGUAAGAUGGAAAAAGGGCAUUUUACCCCGAACAUUGGAAUAUUCCUUUAAAAUAAUUCUAUGAAGUUGG